RNAcentral lists this non-coding RNA (91 nucleotides) under chicken gut metagenome. RNAcentral describes it as "SAM riboswitch (S box leader)". It matches the Rfam family "SAM riboswitch aptamer (S box leader)". From Rfam's summary of the family: The SAM riboswitch is found upstream of a number of genes which code for proteins involved in methionine or cysteine biosynthesis in Gram-positive bacteria. The SAM riboswitch acts at the level of transcription termination control. The predicted structure consists of a complex stem-loop region followed by a single stem loop terminator region. The record is from RNAcentral.
CUUAUCGAGAGUGAUGGAGGGACUGGCCCGACGAAAUCCGGCAACCUACUGAUGUAAGGUGCUAAAUCCAGAGGAACGAUCCGAAGAUGAG